This 247-nucleotide long non-coding RNA is filed under the name Rattus norvegicus (Norway rat). Its description in RNAcentral is "long non-coding RNA NONRATT006205". The record is from RNAcentral. Lineage: Eukaryota; Metazoa; Chordata; Mammalia; Rodentia; Muridae.
AGGUGUCCUCUGUCCCAGAGACCAUGGGCAAAUCUGUUCAGGAAGAGAGGCCGGAAUUCAUUAGCAAGAAGAUGUUAUAAACGAAGUCUUCUUAACUGUGCCUGAGAUGUUCAGGCCCAAAGCAGCCCUUCAGCUGUGAUAAUCAAAGAUGCCUUCGUCAUUUAUAUCCAACUUAUGGGUCUUAUGAAGCUGCAUACAGCCUUGCUCAGGUAUGAAAACAUACAGUCAUAAAUUUAAUUAAAACACA